RNAcentral lists this ribosomal RNA (253 nucleotides) under uncultured bacterium. Its description in RNAcentral is "partial 16S ribosomal RNA". It matches the Rfam family "Bacterial small subunit ribosomal RNA", at positions 524 to 776 of the family's 1533-position model. The record is from RNAcentral.
GACGAAGGGUCCUAGCGUUGUUCGGAAUUACUGGGCGUAAAGGGCAUGUAGGCGGCCUUGCAAGUCAGAUGUGAAAGCCUGGGGCUCAACCCCGGAAGUGCAUUUGAUACUGCAGGGCUUGAAUAUGGUAGAGGAUAGCGGAAUUCCAGGUGUAGUGGUGAAAUACGUAGAUAUCUGGAGGAACAUCAGUGGCGAAGGCGGCUAUCUGGCCCAAUAUUGACGCUGAGAUGCGAAAGCGUGGGGAUCAAACAGG